GCGACGUGUUAUGUUAAAUAUGCUAGUCCUUUCAUGAUUAUGUGAUAGGUGGUGCAUGGCCGUUCUUAGUUCGUGGAGUGAUCUGUCUGCUUAAUUGCGUUUCACCAAGGGCCUAUAAUUUUACGUGUGUUGCGGCACUUUGACCCCUCUUUUUUUAAAGAGCGCGUGUCUUGGUUUGCUUAGCUCGCACAAUUAGGUCCUGAAAGCAACGAACGUGACCGCAACCUCUUGUUGCCUUUAUACCAAACGUGCAUAUGCAAUUUUUUAAUUGCUUUGCGCGCAAAAAGGCUUUUUAAACUAGAGGGACCGCUGUUACUUUCUUAAACCAGAGGAAGGUUGCGGCAAUAACAGGUCUGUGAUGC
RNAcentral lists this ribosomal RNA (362 nucleotides) under Bulimina sp. RNAcentral describes it as "SSU rRNA". It matches the Rfam family "Eukaryotic small subunit ribosomal RNA", at positions 1227 to 1470 of the family's 1831-position model. Lineage: Eukaryota; Foraminifera; Rotaliida; Buliminidae. The record is from RNAcentral.